AUCUACAACCAUAUCACCUCAAAUGCACCUGAUCUCAUUUGAUCUUGUGAAGGUAAGCAGGGCCCAGCCUGGUUAGUACUUGGAUGGGAGACCCUCUGGGAAUAUUGGAAGCUGUAGGCU
Ribosomal RNA from Cercocebus atys (sooty mangabey), 120 nucleotides. NCBI's taxonomy places the organism in Eukaryota, Metazoa, Chordata, Mammalia, Primates, Cercopithecidae. The record is from Ensembl.